AUGACGGCAACACUGGCGACGGGCUGGUGCUGGACGAAGACAAAGGGGGUGGACGGGCGGCUGCGACGGCUACGGGGGGCUGCACUGGGUGCCCUCCGUGGGCGAGCUCGCGGCGAUCAUUGGCGUCGUUGGCGACAAGACGAGUUGAGCACGUCGCCGGCGAGUUGGUUGGCCCGCACACAUCAAGGCUAUACACCACACAGGAUGCAGAUACGCGAAGCAGCAGCAGGACGCGUCAGGCCAGAGGCACGGACGCAACACAGAGAGGAGGAAGAGACAGCUGCCGCACAGUAUUUCGCGAAGGCGUGCUCUGCGGGAGCUCUGGAGUCUGGACUCCAGUGUGUGCUCCUGCUUGGACGCAAGCGGUGA
Molecule: ribosomal RNA, 369 nt
Filed under: Triticum aestivum (bread wheat)
Lineage: Eukaryota; Viridiplantae; Streptophyta; Magnoliopsida; Poales; Poaceae
Description: partial small subunit ribosomal RNA
Source: RNAcentral